This 2792-nucleotide long non-coding RNA is filed under the name Sus scrofa (pig). RNAcentral describes it as "lncRNA (ENSSSCG00035058730.1)". Lineage: Eukaryota; Metazoa; Chordata; Mammalia; Artiodactyla; Suidae. The record is from RNAcentral.
GGCGGUGGUCGAGGCGCGCGGCGGCGGCGUGCAGGGCGUCGAGGCGGCGGUGCAGCGCGGCGGUGCGGCGGCCCAGGGCGGCCGCCUGGCCCUCGAGCUCGCCGAAGAUGUCCCCGGCGCAGCGCGACAGUGAUUGUCCGGUGUGACCCAGCUCAAAGCCAACGAAUUUGAAGAGGAAGCGGAAGGCCUCAAGAGAUAAGAUGAGAGGAGAAAGGGAACAGCUCUCAUCCUCACCUCAGAUCAGACCCCUGCCCCCCUGCCUCUGGACGCACUCAGGUGCUGAUAGAAUGUCUGGAACUGCAGCAGGAUCUUGAGACCAGGAGAAGCAGCCCAGAAGAAUGAAAGCCAUACACAAAUACUGAACUUACCCCAUAAGGAUGACUCCACGUGCACGUAAGGGGUAAAUCCUUGUGGUCUGAGGACCAAGAAAAUUAGCAUCACUUGGAUCUUGUUAGAAAUACGAAAUCUCAGGCCCCACUCCAGACUGGCUGAACACCCAGUUUAGCAAGCUCCCCAGAUGAUUCAGUUGUGUUUUACAGUUUGAGAAGCUCUAGCUCAAACUCCUGUUGGUUGGAUUUUUCUGAUACUUCAGUUGAAUAUUUUGGAACUUGUGAGCGGAAAAAAGUAGUGAGUGAUCAAAGGAUUGAAGAUUCUGAAGAGAAUUAAGUGAAUAUGGAAGGAUGAGACCAAGAAUGCAAAUAAAGUUGCCAGAUGGCCUGGGUCUCCAUGAGGAGAGAGCAGAAAUCACCCAUUCAGAGUAAAUAUAAGAAAGAGGAAAUGGUGGGGAGUUUCUUAGCAACUCAGGUGGGGAAUAUCAGAAAUCCUGCAUGACAGCUCAUCAGGGGAGUUGGACAGCUUGAAUAAGAGGUCCAUGGAUCUAACUUUUCCUGCACUCUAAAAGCCCCAGAACUGAGAGAGCAGACAGCUUCAAAUUAACCCAGUGGGAACUUAGGGGGACCAAGGUCACAAUUAAGGUCAUCACUGAAAGGCUGACCAUGGAGCACGUGGUGGAUUAAAGACUGUGGUGGACAAACACAAGUAAACCACUUGAGUUCAGUGGGGAGAGUUUCAAGCAUGCAGUCCUGGGAAGGAAGGCCUAAGAGAAUGUUCAGUAGUGGCAGUAGAGGAAUAUCAGGAAAAAAAAAAAAAAAAAAAAAAAUAUAUAUAUAUAUAUAUACACACACACACAUAGGCAAGAAUGUGGUGAUUAGAGAAGGGGGCACCAAAUGUGAAAUCUCAGCGAUAGAACAAUGACUUAGGGUUAUGUAAAUUGAAAAAAAAAAGAAAUAUUCUUAAUGAUAAAGGAAAGCAAACUGCAUCAACCAGAGGAUGUACAGUUGAUGGGGUUUGGGGGUUUAUUUGUUUGUUUUUGCUUUUUAGGGCCACACUUAAGGCAUAUGGAAGUUCCCAGGCUAGGGGUGGAAUCGGAACUGCAGCUGCCUGCCUAUACCCUAGCCACAGCAAUGCAGGAUCCAAGCUGCAUCUGCGACCUACACCACAGCAACAUCAGAUCGUUAAUGCACGAAGCGAGGCCAGGGAUUAAACCUGCAUCUUCACCAGUACUAGUCAGGUUCAUUAUCACUGAGCCACAAUGGGAACUCUGAUGUAUUCUUGAUAAUUGUCCAAAAAGUAAAGACAAAAAUCUACCUUUAAUGGAAAAAAAAAUUCACCCCACUUGAAACAAAAGAUUUUUAUAAUGCUCAAUACAUAUUUUUUUUUCUUAUAGUACUUAGUAAAUCUUAUCAAAAGUGACUCGAACUUGAAAUGAUAAUGGAUAUGGGCCUUCACCUCAAGGCUUAUGAUAAAAAUUGGUAUUAACAAAUUAGUCUCCUCAAGCUGCCAUAACAAAUUACAAUGGAUAGCUUAAAACAACAGACAUUUACUGUCUCACAGUUCUGGCAAAUAUGAAACCAAGGUGUCAGCAGGGCCCUGCUCCCUCUGAAAACUGUCAAAAAGAAUCCCGUCUUGCCUCUUCUAGUUUCUGGUAUUUGCCAACACUCUUUGGUGUUCCUUGACUUAGGGGUGGAGGCACAUUCCACUCUCUGCCUCCAGUGUCACAUGGCCAUACUCUCCCAUGUGUCAUCCCUGUCUCUGCGUCUGCCCUCUCCUUACAAGGACAGUCAUAUUGAAUUAAGCCCCCUGGUCCCCACUCCAGUAAGGCCUCAUCUUGACUUAUUACAUCUGCCAAGAUCCUACUUCCAAGUAAGGUCACAUUCUGAGCUACUGAGGGAUAGGACUUCAACAAACCUUUUUAAAGGACACAAUUCAACCGAUAAUACCGUGAGGUGACAAAAAUAACUUGGUUUUGGUUUAAACAUUUAGAUCAAACCACCUUAAUACCUAAAUUACUAAAGGCAAAAAGCAAUGGCAUAUUAAACUCCCAAGUCCUGGUUCAGAACCUUUCUGGGUAAGGCAGGUGUUGUUGGGAAAGGGUAACAGGAUAGAAACAGUAGGUGAGGCUGGCUGGUGUUCUGGACACCGGUCACAGCACCCUUGUUGGUUAUUCCUGUGUGGCCAUCACCCCCCUCCUCCAUUCAUAAAUUCAGCAAAGGGAGUUCCCAUUGUGGCUUUAGUGGGUUACGGACCCAACAUAGUCUCCUGAAGAUGUGGGUUCGAUCCCUUGCCUCGCUCAGUGGGUUAAGGAUCUGACAUUGCCGCAAGCUGCAGAUGUGGCUCAGAUCCAGUGUUGCCAUGGCUGUGGCAUAGGCUCCCACUGCAGCUUGAUUCAACCCCUAGCCUGGGAACUUCCAUAUGCCACAUGUGUGGCCAUAAAAAGGAAAAAAAAAAAAAAA